UCCAAUGCUCUCACCUCAUUUGACAUCCCC
Molecule: non-coding RNA, 30 nt
Filed under: Mus musculus (house mouse)
Lineage: Eukaryota; Metazoa; Chordata; Mammalia; Rodentia; Muridae
Source: RNAcentral